UACGAAGGGGGCUAGCGUUGCUCGGAAUCACUGGGCGUAAAGCGCACGUAGGCGGAUUGCUAAGUCAGGGGUGAAAUCCUGGAGCUCAACUCCAGAACUGCCUUUGAUACUGGCGAUCUUGGGUCCGGGAGAGGUGAGUGGAACUGCGAGUGUAGAGGUGAAAUUCGUAGAUAUUCGCAAGAACACCAGUGGCGAAGGCGGCUCACUGGCCCGGUACUGACGCUGAGGAGCGAAAGCAUGGGGAGCGAACAGG
Molecule: ribosomal RNA, 253 nt
Filed under: uncultured bacterium
Lineage: Bacteria
Description: partial 16S ribosomal RNA
Rfam family: Bacterial small subunit ribosomal RNA
Source: RNAcentral